Molecule: ribosomal RNA, 527 nt
Filed under: Stenotrophomonas maltophilia
Lineage: Bacteria; Pseudomonadati; Pseudomonadota; Gammaproteobacteria; Lysobacterales; Lysobacteraceae
Description: bacterial SSU rRNA
Rfam family: Bacterial small subunit ribosomal RNA
Source: RNAcentral
ACAUGUCGAACUUUCAGAGAUGGAUGGUGCCUUCGGGGAUCGAACACAGGUGCUGCAUGGCUGUCGUCAGCUCGUGUCGUGAGAUGUGGGGGUAAGUCCCGCCACGAGCGCGACCCCGUCCUUAGUUGCCAGCACGUAAUGGUGGGCACUCUAAGGAGACCGCCGGUGACACACCGGAGGAAGGUGGGGAUGACGUCAAGUCAUCAUGGCCCCUACGGCCAGGGCUACACACGUAGUACAAUGGUAGGGACAGAGGGCUGCAAGCCGGCGACGGUGAGCCGAUCCCAGAAACCGCUAUCUCAGUCCGGAUUGGGUCUGCAACUCGACUCAUGAAGUCGGAAUCGCUAGUAAUCGCAGAUCAGCAUUGUCUGCGGUGAAUACGUUCCCGGGCCUUGUACACACCGCCCGUCACACCAUGGGAGUUUGUUGCACCAGAAGCAGGUAGUUAACCUUCGGGAGGGCGCUUGCCACGGUGUGCGAUGACUGGGGUGAAGUCGUAACGAUAGGCGGCCAAAUCGAUCGGUGUU